CAAAGAUUAGGCCCAAAACAACAUAAUCCAAAAUUGCAAAUGGGUCAACUAUCCAAACCCCUAACCCGAUAGAGAAAAGGAGCAACUUCCUACUUACCGUCGCCCCAUCCCCUCAUGGACGCUUAAGAAGACACCAGAGCCAUUUUGCGAAGAGAAAUAAUAAAUCUCCUAAAUACUGAUGUCAAAAAUGACAUAAAACCACCACUGAAAUUCAAAAGAUUGUUGCUAUCACAUUACUUUCACAAGCUUUAAGGAAAAUAAGUGGUUGACAUAACCCCAAGCCCAGGAGGCAAGCUCCCCAGAAGUUUUGCAUCAACAAUCCAGCAAGCAAGGACCAUUGGCGAUGGGCCUCUUUAGUGUCCCAUUCGCACUUGCUAGGCUGAUCUACUAUACUGCACCCCACAAGUUGCCACACCAGACUACUGGUUCCAUGCUAGAUUGGAGAAAAAGCAACCACACCUACGCAAAAAGCAAUGAAGCUCUAGACCUCACAUUUGAGCAGAUCUACAAAAUCUUCCCUUGCAUGUCAAAAAUCA
Molecule: unclassified non-coding RNA, 536 nt
Filed under: Hevea brasiliensis (rubber tree)
Lineage: Eukaryota; Viridiplantae; Streptophyta; Magnoliopsida; Malpighiales; Euphorbiaceae
Source: RNAcentral